This is a long non-coding RNA of Acanthochromis polyacanthus (spiny chromis), 583 nucleotides long. RefSeq lists it as uncharacterized. The transcript is spliced from 5 exons. The record is from RefSeq and is a predicted model, not a curated record. Lineage: Eukaryota; Metazoa; Chordata; Actinopteri; Pomacentridae.
AGAACAGGUAGUAGAGCAGGAAGUAGAGGAGGAAGUAGAACAGGAAGUAGAACAGGAAGUAGAGCAGUAAGUAGAGGAGGAAGUAGAGCAGGUAGUAGAGCAGGAAGUAGAGGAGGAAGUAGAACAGGAAGUAGAACAGGAAGUAGAGCAGGAAGUAGAGCAGUAAGUAGAGGAGGAAGUAGAGCAGGUAGUAGAACAGGAAGUAGAGCAGGAAGUAGAGCAGGAAGUAGAGCAGGAAGUAGAGCAGGUAGUAGAACAGGAAGUAGAGCAGGAAGUAGAGCAGGAAGUAGAGCAGGUAGUAGAGCAGGAAGUAGAACAGGUAGUAGAGCAGGAAGUAGAGCAGGAAGUAGAGGAGGAAGUAGAACAGGAAGUAGAACAGGAAGUAGAGCAGUAAGUAGAGGAGGAAGUAGAGCAGGUAGUAGAACAGGAAGUAGAGCAGGAAGUAGAGCAGGAAGUAGAGCAGGAAGUAGAGCAGGUAGUAGAGCAGGAAGUAGAGCAGGAAGUAGAGCAGGUAGUAGAACAGGUAGUAGAGCAGGAAGUAGAGGAGGAAGUAGAACAGGAAGUAGAACAGGAAGUAGAGCAG